Molecule: ribosomal RNA, 643 nt
Filed under: uncultured Actinomycetes bacterium
Lineage: Bacteria; Bacillati; Actinomycetota; Actinomycetes
Description: bacterial SSU rRNA
Rfam family: Bacterial small subunit ribosomal RNA
Source: RNAcentral
CGCGGCCUAUCAGCUUGUUGGUGAGGUAACGGCUCACCAAGGCUUCGACGGGUAGCCGGCCUGAGAGGGCGACCGGCCACACUGGGACUGAGAUACGGCCCAGACUCCUACGGGAGGCAGCAGUGGGGAAUAUUGCGCAAUGGGCGAAAGCCUGACGCAGCAACGCCGCGUGCGGGAUGACGGCCUUCGGGUUGUAAACCGCUUUCAGCUCCGACGAAGCUAACGUGACGGUAGGAGCAGAAGAAGCACCGGCCAACUACGUGCCAGCAGCCGCGGUAAUACGUAGGGUGCGAGCGUUGUCCGGAAUUAUUGGGCGUAAAGAGCUUGUAGGCGGUCUGUCGCGUCGGAAGUGAAAACUCAGGGCUUAACCCUGAGCCUGCUUCCGAUACGGGCAGACUAGAGGAAGGUAGGGGAGAACGGAACUCCUGGUGGAGCGGUGGAAUGCGCAGAUAUCAGGAAGAACACCGGUGGCGAAGGCGGUUCUCUGGACCUUUCCUGACGCUGAGAAGCGAAAGCGUGGGGAGCAAACAGGCUUAGAUACCCUGGUAGUCCACGCCGUAAACGGUGGGCACUAGGUGUGGGACUCAUUCCACGAGUUCCGUGCCGUAGCUAACGCAUUAAGUGCCCCGCCUGGGGAGUACGG